RNAcentral lists this ribosomal RNA (336 nucleotides) under Triticum aestivum (bread wheat). RNAcentral describes it as "partial small subunit ribosomal RNA". Lineage: Eukaryota; Viridiplantae; Streptophyta; Magnoliopsida; Poales; Poaceae. The record is from RNAcentral.
AUGCGGGGGCGUCUCCGGGUGAAUGGAAUGGCGAGACCACCGAGUACGGCGGCCGGCGCAGUGGUCUCUGGGGAUGGCUGGUGUUAUACUGGCCGGCCGGAGCGGGAGAACGGUCAACCAGAGCUGCUUCAGCAGGCGCCAUUAACAAACUACCAGCGCGCCGUACUAUCCAUCCCUGUUGCAUACGCACGAUCAUCUGCAUGCAGGCCGCUGAGCUCACCAACAGGAACGUGCCAAUGCAGAUUCCCGGCCGGGAUAACGAACACCUCUGGACUGGGGUUACCUUCCUGUCUGUCUGCCGGCAUCGUCCCGAGAUGCUACUCUGGAGUAGAGUAG